Molecule: ribosomal RNA, 407 nt
Filed under: Pezicula cinnamomea
Lineage: Eukaryota; Fungi; Ascomycota; Leotiomycetes; Helotiales; Dermateaceae
Description: partial 18S ribosomal RNA
Rfam family: Group I catalytic intron (bases 60-357)
About the family: Group I catalytic introns are large self-splicing ribozymes.
Source: RNAcentral
GUAGAGCAGUGAUCUCUCUGCAGCGAACUUAAGGAAGCCUUUGCACCCCUAACGGGGGCUCUCGCGACUCUAAAUAAGGAGGCAUGCAAGUGACAAAGCCCAACGGCUGAGUUGCAACACAAUCGAAUUGCGGGGAAGUCCUAAAGCCUCAGGGUACUAACCUGCUGUAGGAAUGCAGCAGGGGCCUGUGUUAAUCGCACAGGGUAUAGUAACAACCCCGGAGGAUCUAGCCAGGUGUGCUAGAAUGGACGAUCCGCAGCGAAGCCCCUAGACCAGGGGAACGUUCACAGACUAAGUGGUUGUGGGUAGGAGGGACUCCUGCUUAAGAUAUAGUCGGGCCGGCGCGGAAACGCGCUGGGGAUUCGCAAGAACGUAAACCGCUCCGUAGGUGAACCUGCGGAGGGAUC